GGGCCGUUAGCUCAUUUGGUAGAGCGCUUCCAUGGCAUGGAAGAGGCGACCGGUUCAAAUCCGGUACGGUCCACCA
Molecule: transfer RNA, 76 nt
Filed under: bacterium
Lineage: Bacteria
Description: tRNA-Ala
Rfam family: tRNA
About the family: Transfer RNA (tRNA) molecules are approximately 80 nucleotides in length. Their secondary structure includes four short double-helical elements and three loops (D, anti-codon, and T loops).
Source: RNAcentral